CAAGUAGUAUGGAUGAGUCAUAAUCGUCACCGGUCAUUCGUCAACAUUAUUGCGAGUUUUUGUCGUUUUAUCGAAUCGCAUUUGAGAAAUAUUUCCUGAUUUCCUUGUGAAAUAUGUAUAAAUAUGGAGGAGAACCAUCCCCUAACCAUUCUCAAUCUUUACUCGACACCGAAUCGUACCGACUUCAAGUCCUCACCGAACCGACACCAUGCUGAAGGUAUUGUUUCUCCUGUCCUGCCUGGUGGCUAAUGGGCUCUGCCAUUACUACGGAAAUUCCUACGGCUAUGGUUUGGGAUCAGGGUUAGACAAUGGAUUCGGAAGUGGUCUUGGACUUCUUGGUGGUGGAUAUGGAUAUGGAAACGGAUACGGAAAUUACUAUGGUCGCGGGGGAUACGGACUUGGAGGCUACGGACGUGGAGGCUACGGACGUGGAUACGGAAACAGGUGGAUGAGACGACGGGGUUCCGUAUUUGGUGGAUAUUAAACAAUAGAAUUUCCAGAUUCAUCACACUCUCCUUCAUGCUUUACCAUUUAAUUUAUUGCCAAAAAUUAUUUUCACUUAAUAAAAUGUGUUUGUUAAAUGGAA
This is a long non-coding RNA of Pecten maximus, 586 nucleotides long. RefSeq lists it as uncharacterized. Lineage: Eukaryota; Metazoa; Mollusca; Bivalvia; Pectinida; Pectinidae. The transcript has 4 exons. The record is from RefSeq and is a predicted model, not a curated record.